This 439-nucleotide ribosomal RNA is filed under the name uncultured bacterium. RNAcentral describes it as "partial 16S ribosomal RNA". It matches the Rfam family "Bacterial small subunit ribosomal RNA", at positions 338 to 795 of the family's 1533-position model. The record is from RNAcentral.
CCUACGUGCGACAGCAGUGGGGGAUAUUGCACAAUGGGGGGAACCCUGAUGCAGCGACGCCGCGUGGGUGAAGAAGCGCCUCGGCGCGUAAAGCCCUGUCAGCAGGGCAGAAAAUGACGGUACCUGAAGAAGAAGCCCCGGCUAACUACGUGCCAGCAGCCGCGGUAAUACGUAGGGGGCCAGCGUUAUCCGGAUUUAUUGGGUUUCAAGGGUGCGUAGUCGGAUUUUUAAGUCAGCGGUAAAAUGUCCGGGCUCAACCCGGGCCGGCCGUUGAAACUGGGGAUCUUGAGUGGGCGAGAAGUAUGCGGAAUGCGUGGUGUAGCGGUGAAAGGCAUAGAUAUCACGCAGAACUCCGAUUGCGAAGGCAGCAUACCGGCGCCCGACUGACGCUGAGGCACGAAAGCGUGGGGAUCGAACAGGAUUAGAUACCCGAGUAGUC